This 253-nucleotide ribosomal RNA is filed under the name uncultured prokaryote. Its description in RNAcentral is "partial 16S ribosomal RNA". It matches the Rfam family "Bacterial small subunit ribosomal RNA", at positions 524 to 776 of the family's 1533-position model. The record is from RNAcentral.
UACGUAGGGGGCGAGCGUUGCCCGGAUUUAUUGGGCGUAAAGGGCGCGUAGGCGGCCACGUGCGUCAUGGGUGAAAUCUCCCGGCUCAACUGGGAGGGGUCCGGUGAUACGACGUGGCUGGAGUGAGGUAGGGGGCAGUGGAAUUCCCGGUGUAGUGGUGGAAUGCGUAGAGAUCGGGAGGAACACCCGUGGCGAAGGCGGCUGCCUGGACCUCGACUGACGCUGAGGCGCGAAAGCGUGGGGAGCGAUCCGG